CCUACGGGAGGCACCAGUGGGGAAUAUUGGACAAUGGGCGCAAGCCUGAUCCAGCCAUGCCGCGUGAGUGAUGAAGGCCUUAGGGUUGUAAAGCUCUUUUAGUGGGGAAGAUAAUGACGGUACCCACAGAAAAAGCCCCGGCUAACUUCGUGCCAGCAGCCGCGGUAAUACGAAGGGGGCUAGCGAUGUUCGGAUCCACUGGGCGUAAAGCGCACGUAGGCGGAUCGUUAAGUCGGGGGUGAAAUCCUGGAGCUCAACUCCAGAACUGCCUUCGAUACUGGUGAUCUUGAGUCCGGAAGAGGUGAGUGGAACUCCUAGUGUAGAGGUGGAAUUCGUAGAUAUUAGGAAGAACACCAGUGGCGAAGGCGGCUCACUGGUCCGGUACUGACGCUGAGGUGCGAAAGCGUGGGGAGCAAACAGGAUUAGAUACCCCUGUAGUC
Molecule: ribosomal RNA, 440 nt
Filed under: uncultured bacterium
Lineage: Bacteria
Description: bacterial SSU rRNA
Rfam family: Bacterial small subunit ribosomal RNA
Source: RNAcentral